RNAcentral lists this ribosomal RNA (468 nucleotides) under uncultured bacterium. Its description in RNAcentral is "partial 16S ribosomal RNA". It matches the Rfam family "Bacterial small subunit ribosomal RNA", at positions 28 to 507 of the family's 1533-position model. The record is from RNAcentral.
GACGAACGCUGGCGGCGUGCUUAACACAUGCAAGUCGAACGGAAAGGCCCUGCUUUUGUGGGGUGCUCGAGUGGCGAACGGGUGAGUAACACGUGAGUAACCUGCCCUUGACUUUGGGAUAACUUCAGGAAACUGGGGCUAAUACCGGAUAGGAGCUCCUGCUGCAUGGUGGGGGUUGGAAAGUUUCGGCGGUUGGGGAUGGACUCGCGGCUUACCAGCUUGUUGGUGGGGUAGUGGCUUACCAAGGCUUUGACGGGUAGCCGGCCUGAGAGGGUGACCGGCCACAUUGGGACUGAGAUACGGCCCAGACUCCUACGGGAGGCAGCAGUGGGGAAUAUUGCACAAUGGGCGGAAGCCUGAUGCAGCAACGCCGCGUGCGGGAUGACGGCCUUCGGGUUGUAAACCGCUUUCGCCUGUGACGAAGCGUGAGUGACGGUAAUGGGUAAAGAAGCACCGGCUAACUACGCG